AUGUAUGGGAGAGGUUGGAGGAAGUUCUAUGAAGACAACAAUCUGGGCAAGGGUCAGAUGGUGGUGUUCCACCUGGAUGAACCUUCACCUACGGCAUCUAUUUUGUGGUUCCAGGUGGGCAACGGCUCUAAAGAUGAACAGCCUAUGGAAGAGGGUUAUCCCAUUGAAGAUUCAGAUUCAGGUAAUGAGGAUGGAGAAGCUUCAAGCGAUGAUGGUGAAGGCAUUGUUCGCACUAGGGGGCUUUUGCUUAAUGAGAUAGAGGAUGCUCAGCUACAAGGGCUGCUGCCUCUCAGUGAUGGUUUCAUCGGGUUUGCUUUUGUUCACCGCCUGACAAGGACUGACAUUCGCUUGGGCAUGAUGAAAAUACCCAAGAAAGUUGCUACUGCCACGCCGUUUGAAGAACAGGGGGUUGUUGGUAUUUCUGUGGAUGGUCGGAGAUUCAAAAAAAUCUCAUACAAGACUACUGAUGAUGGCCGCAUUGUGUUUGGCAGCAAGAAGUGGAAAAACUUCACAGCUAGCAGAGGACUCAAAGUCAACACAGUUGUUCUUAUUGGCUUCAAGAGCAGCGAGAGGGAUGAUGUCCAUGUCCUGGUUAUCUUGAAAAAGCUUCGCUAG
RNAcentral lists this ribosomal RNA (615 nucleotides) under Triticum aestivum (bread wheat). RNAcentral describes it as "partial small subunit ribosomal RNA". The record is from RNAcentral. Lineage: Eukaryota; Viridiplantae; Streptophyta; Magnoliopsida; Poales; Poaceae.